GAGGGUAUAGCUCAAGUGGUAGAGUGCAUGCUUAGCAUGCACAAGGUCCUGGGUUCAAUUCCCAGUACCUCCU
Camelus ferus (Wild Bactrian camel) is the source of this 73-nucleotide transfer RNA. It matches the Rfam family "tRNA". From Rfam's summary of the family: Transfer RNA (tRNA) molecules are approximately 80 nucleotides in length. Their secondary structure includes four short double-helical elements and three loops (D, anti-codon, and T loops). Further hydrogen bonds mediate the characteristic L-shaped molecular structure. tRNAs have two regions of fundamental functional importance: the anti-codon, which is responsible for specific mRNA codon recognition, and the 3' end, to which the tRNAs corresponding amino acid is attached (by aminoacyl-tRNA synthetases). tRNAs cope with the degeneracy of the genetic code in two manners: having more than one tRNA (with a specific anti-codon) for a particular amino acid; and 'wobble' base-pairing, i.e. permitting non-standard base-pairing at the 3rd anti-codon position. NCBI's taxonomy places the organism in Eukaryota, Metazoa, Chordata, Mammalia, Artiodactyla, Camelidae. The record is from Rfam.